UGGGGAAUAUUGCACAAUGGGCGAAAGCCUGAUGCAGCAACGCCGCGUGAGUGAUGAAGGCCUUCGGGUUGUAAAGCUCUGUCUUUUGGGACGAUAAUGACGGUACCAAAGGAGGAAGCCACGGCUAACUACGUGCCAGCAGCCGCGGUAAUACGUAGGUGGCAAGCGUUGUCCGGAUUUACUGGGCGUAAAGGAUGCGUAGGCGGAUUUUUAAGUGAGAUGUGAAAACCCUAAGCUUAACUUGGGGACUGCAUUUCAUACUGGAAAUCUAGAGUGCGGGAGAGGAGAAUGGAAUUCCUAGUGUAGCGGUGAAAUGCGUAGAGAUUAGGAAGAACACCAGUGGCGAAGGCGAUUCUCUGGACCGUAACUGACGCUGAGGCAUGAAAGCGUGGGUAGCAAACAGGAUUAGAUACCCUGGUAGUCCACGCCGUAAACGAUGAGUACUAGGUGUAGGAGGUAUCGACCCCUUCUGUGCCGCAGUUAACACAAUAAGUACCCCGCCUGGGAAGUACGAUCGCAAGAUUAAAACUCAAAUGAAUUGACGGGGUCAUAGCUGUUUCCU
Molecule: ribosomal RNA, 562 nt
Filed under: uncultured bacterium
Lineage: Bacteria
Description: partial 16S ribosomal RNA
Rfam family: Bacterial small subunit ribosomal RNA
Source: RNAcentral